Molecule: ribosomal RNA, 550 nt
Filed under: uncultured bacterium
Lineage: Bacteria
Description: bacterial SSU rRNA
Rfam family: Bacterial small subunit ribosomal RNA
Source: RNAcentral
UAGGGAAUCUUCCGCAAUGGGCGAAAGCCUGACGGAGCAACGCCGCGUGAGUGAAGAAGGAUUUCGGUUCGUAAAGCUCUGUUGUUAGGGAAGAAUGAUUGUGUAGUAACUAUACACAGUAGAGACGGUACCUANCCCAGAAAGCCACGGCUAACUACGUGCCAGCAGCCGCGGUAAUACGUAGGUGGCAAGCGUUGUCCGGAAUUAUUGGGCGUAAAGCGCGCGCAGGUGGUUUAAUAAGUCUGAUGUGAAAGCCCACGGCUCAACCGUGGAGGGUCAUUGGAAACUGUUAAACUUGAGUGCAGGAGAGAAAAGUGGAAUUCCUAGUGUAGCGGUGAAAUGCGUAGAGAUUAGGAGGAACACCAGUGGCGAAGGCGGCUUUUUGGCCUGUAACUGACACUGAGGCGCGAAAGCGUGGGGAGCAAACAGGAUUAGAUACCCUGGUAGUCCACGCCGUUAAACGAUGAGUGCUAAGUGUUGGUCUCAUAAGAGAUCAGUGCUGCAGCUAACGCAUUAAGCACUCCGCCUGGGGGGUACGACCGCAAGGUUG